Molecule: ribosomal RNA, 812 nt
Filed under: Helix pronuba
Lineage: Eukaryota; Metazoa; Mollusca; Gastropoda; Stylommatophora; Helicidae
Description: partial large subunit ribosomal RNA
Source: RNAcentral
AUUAGCAAAAUAAGGUAACUACACUAUCACGAAAGAGAAUGAGCUAAACAAAUAUAGUAUAUGUAAUACGUGGUAUAGUAUUAUAUUAAUGUGUGUUUAGGGGUGAUAGGCCUAUCAAGUUCUUUGAUAACUUGGUUCAUAUGAAAAGUAUUAAGUACAAAAACAAACUUAAAAAGUUAAGCUUUUAAGUAAUUAUUAAAAACAUUCUAUAUGUUAAAUAUAGUUUAAUAGCUAGUUAAUUUAAAACUAAAUAUUACUCCUGUGUUUUUAUAGUAAAUAAUAUGAUGACUUAGUUUAUUUUCCGGUUUAAAAAUGUUAAUAUUAGUAUUUUUUAAAAAUAUGCUAAAGGAACUCGGCAAAUAACCGCUCAACUGUUUAUCAAAAACAUAGCUAUAUGGAAUAAUAUAUAGUUAUUUCUGCUCCAUGAACAUUAAAUAGCCGCAGUACCCUGACUGUGCAAAGGUAGCAUAAUCAGUUGGCUUUUAAUUAAAGUCUGGUAUGAACGAAAAUAUGGGUGGUAGCUGUCUCUAGCAUACUAGUUUAAACUUACUUAGCAAGUGCAAAUACUUGCAAACUUCAAAAAGACGAGAAGACCCUAGAAACUUAAAUAAGUUUUUGUUGGGGCGACAGAAUUACAGUUAACUAAUUUUAAAGACAUGACACGCAGUUGAAAGAAUAAGUUACUCUAGGGAUAACAGCAUAAUUUUAAUAGUUUGUGACCUCGAUGUUGGAUUAGGUAUUGUAUCCUUAAGGCAAGGAUAAAAGAAGCUCUGUUCGAGCAGUCUCACCUACAUGAUCUGAGUUCAGACCGG